ACACACUUCAAGUAAAGGCGACUGAAAAAUGUCUAGAAGUUAUAGAAAUUAGUACCGCAAGGGA
RNAcentral lists this transfer RNA (64 nucleotides) under Microhyla butleri. Its description in RNAcentral is "tRNA-Val". Lineage: Eukaryota; Metazoa; Chordata; Amphibia; Anura; Microhylidae. The record is from RNAcentral.